This 681-nucleotide small RNA is filed under the name Pan troglodytes (chimpanzee). Its description in RNAcentral is "processed transcript". The record is from RNAcentral. Lineage: Eukaryota; Metazoa; Chordata; Mammalia; Primates; Hominidae.
UGUACUACGGAGCCAAGUCCUUGCGGGGCACAGACAGAAAACACUAUAAAUCCACACCUGGCAAAAAGGUUUCCAUCGUGGGCUGGAUGGUGCAGCUGCCCGAUGACCCCGAGCACCCAGAUAUCUUCCAGCUGAACAACCCUGACAAAGGCAAUGUUUACAAGUUUCAGACUGGUUCCCGAUUUCAUGCAAUACUGUGGCACAAGCAUUUGGAUGAUGCAUGUAAAAGCAACAGGCCUCAGGAAGCCGGAGCAGCUCCAGGUCCAACAGGAACUGACAGCCACGAGGUGGACCACCUGGAGGGUGGUAUGGGGAAGGAGGCAGGGCCCUGUGCCUGAAGCCUGGGCACCAUGGUGGCCCCAGUCAGGAGCAACAGUGGUAGCCCUGAGUAAAACCCAUUGUCCCUCUUUGGAGGAGCGGCCAGAGGAUGACAGCAGCCCCAGCAGGCAGCAGUGCCUGGGCAGGCUGAUCCAGCAGAGCACUAAUGGGUCAGUUUCAUAUAUUGGCAAAUGUGGUGUAGCAUGGCAAGGCUACAAGUUUUAAGGAUUUUUGUCUGAUUUUCAGACCUAGAGGAGGGGAUUUUUCUUCCUACUUUCCCCCUUUUUUAUUUCUAAUUUACUUUCAACCAAAUAUUACCACUAUGUGCUAUAUGUAAUAAUAAAAAGUUGACAACAACUGAAA